Molecule: long non-coding RNA, 4737 nt
Filed under: Homo sapiens (human)
Lineage: Eukaryota; Metazoa; Chordata; Mammalia; Primates; Hominidae
Description: HSALNT0164634
Source: RNAcentral
AGAAAUUUUACGUGACACAGGAGUCUUCAGAAAUGAAGACCCAAAGAAACAGGUAAACCUGUAUAUUUGUUAUGCUAGGUUUGAUGGAGAAGUGGCUCAUUGUCGAGAAGUGUGAUUGGAAAAGAAAGCAUGAUCUGUUGAUAUGGAAGCAACUUAGCAAGGCCUAUUUGUCCAGUUUCUUCUCUGUGUCCCUGGAUCUUCAAAGAUAAGGGUUUUUUUUCCUUUGGGUAUAGAGAGGGCUCCUCUUUAAUGAAGGUCUUCUUUUUUCAGAGGUGGAAGGCAGGAAAAAAUCAGAGAAUGAUCUUCCUAGGUUUCAUGGCCUACUUAGGGGAGAAGGGCAGUGGAAGGUGAGAGAGACCUGCCUGCUUCUGCUGUUUUCUCAAAUGCCAAGGUACUUUGGGGGUAGCCUGUCCUGAAUCCCAUCACCCCUAUUGGAUUCUUCCUCCAUCUCUCCUAGGGAGAGUCUAAGGGUUGGAGUUUUCUCCUUCUCUAUAGGAGAUGGAGGAUGGGAGCUCAAUGAGAAAAAUAAUCUUGAGCAUCUUGAUACAAGCCUGUCCGUGUUUCCUCUCCACAGGGGAAUGCUUGUGUAUGCUUACACUGGUCCAAACACAGGAAAACUUGCAGAUCUGCAGAACACCUCGUGGGGAGGGGAAAGCUGUUUUUCACUCAAGGCUGGCUCACUUCUGAGGCCGCUGCUGGGACAGGGAACUCCUAAGGCUCACUCUGGGUAGGUCUUUGUCGAAGGGGGCAUUGGCCAGAGCCCUAUGAGGUGGCGGCCAGGCUAGUGAAGGAGGCAGAGCAAGCAACUCAAACCAUUUUCAGCUUUUCCUUUGCAGAUCCAACCUUUUAAGCAUACCUACAUUUACCUGCAAUGGCAAUCGUUUUGCAUUUUAAUGACAAAUCAAGUACGCUAACUUGCAUUUGAAACGAAAGUGCCUUAAAUGUCUUUGGCUGUCAGAAUGAGAUGUUAGGAGCUUGAUGAAAAGCGAACAAAGAAGACAAAGUAUGAAGCCUGGAUACAGUGCAAAAUGAAAUAAAACCUUGUAUGGCCUGUCAGGGGUGUCAGUUGAUAUUCAUAUCUAAAGCACAUUAUAGCAUUACUUUGCAGCUCAUAGCUUACUCAUCUGUCUUUUUUAAUUCAUCACAUUCGAGCCCACAUCUUUUAAGUCUCGUGUGUCAACAAUGGAAGAAAUCUGUUAAUUGACAAAUGAGUGUCACAAAUGUGAAUUGGUGCCUUUACAUCAGCGGCAGGUGUAGUCUCUUUUGUUUUUUGUUGGAUCUAUUAUUGGCAUAAGCCAGUGUAAGACAUCUGUCUUUGUCGGAAUGAGAAAUGACAGGCCUUCUUGGCUGUCAUUGUCUUAGUGCGUGCUCAUUCUGUGAGAUACUGUAUAAAGAUAAAAUGUCAGUUAAAAGAAUAUGAAAAACUAUCUGGAGGAAGUCCUUAAAUUACUCAGAGAGGGGAUCCGGGAAUUGGGGCUGGAAUUGAAAUCUGAGUGUUUCAGUUUGUAUCUAUCACACCUAUUUAAAAAUAAUAUUUCCUGAGUAACAGGAUGAGGUUAUCAGGCAUUUAGGAAAAUGUUAUGUUGUGCUGGUAUAAUUAGCUUUAUAAGGUGGGGAGAACAUCUACCUUUGCAAGAUAUGAAUUUAUUUAUUAUAAGGUCAUCUCUCAGACAAGUACAGAAUUGUCUCAAUAAAAACAUUCCAGGUAGGAUUCUGGGCGUUGAUUUGCAUGUGUUUUGAGAUAUUGAAAUUGUUCCACUCCAAUUUCUUUUUCGGUUAUAUUCCUAUCUGAGACUGAUGAGAAGCAUAAUGAAAUAAAAAGCAGCAGUUGUAGAGUGAUGAGACAAUUAGCGGGGAGCAAACUGUUAGUAUCACUGAGCUCCUGGUGGGUUUAGAUGCAGGCGAGUUCUGGACACCUGAGGCUCCGUUGUUAACUCCAGUUGCCGCUGGUGAGAGAGGAGGCAGCGGAUCUGAGGGUGGAGGAAUGCUCCUGCAUCCUCUUCUCUCUGCUUCAGCCCGAGCUGGAGAGCUUGGAAUUUUAGAGUUGGUGAGGACAGGGUGACCUCAGCUGGGCAUGUCUUGAGUAUGGGAUGGGUGGGCUCUAAGGGGUGCUUUCCAAACUUGAGCGUGCACACACAUCCCCGGGGAACUUGUGAAAAUGCAGUGUCUAAUUCUGUAGGUCUGGGGUUGGGCCUGAGACUGAGUUUCUAACAAGUUCCCAGGGGAUGCUGACCUGCUGCUUAGACCUGACUUGAGCGUCAAGGAGUUCAGUCCAUUCCUCCCACAGACUGUCUGAGAGGCUCCUGUAGACAAUGUGGGAUGAUGAGCUGAGAGGAGUCUUUGGAUGCUCGGGUGGGCUACACUGUUCUGGAUGAUUUUUUUUUUUUUUGAGAUGGAGUUUCACUUUUGUCGCUUAGGCUGGAGUGCAGUGGUGGGAUCUCAGCUUACUGCAACCUCCGCCUCCUGGGUUCAAGGGAGUCUCCUGCUUCAGCUUCCCAAGUAGCUGGGAUUACAGGUGCAUGCCACCACACCAGCUAAUUUUUUGUUUGUUUGUUUGUCUUGUUUUUUUUGAGAUGGAGUUUUGCUCUGUUGCCCAGGCUGGAGUGCAAUGGCGCGAUCUUGGCUCACUGCAACCUUUGCCUCCCAGGUUCAAGCGAAUCUCCUGCCUUAGCCUCCCGAGUAGCUAGGAUUACAGGCAUGUGCUACCAGGUUCGGCUAAUUUUGUAUUUUUAGUAGAGAUGGGGUUUCUCCAGGUUGGUCAGGCUGAUCUCGAACUCCUGACCUCAGGUGAUCCUCUCACCUCGGCCUCCCAAAGUGCUGGGAUUACAGGCAUGAACCACUGCGCCCGGCUAAUUUUUGUAUUUUUAGUAGAGAUGGGGUUUCUCCAUGUUGGCAAGGCUGGUCUCGAACUCUUGACCUCAGGUGAUCUACCCGCCUCGGCCUCCCAAAGUGCUGGGAUUACAGGCGUGAGCCACUGCGCCCAUCCUGUUCUGGAUGAUUUCUGUGUCAAAAAAUUAUUUCUGUAGAAAUGUUUCUAGUCCCUUCAGAGCAGGCUGGGAUCCAUUGAUUUUUCUCUAGUUCUCUGGGGCUGUAGGGGUCGGGGACAGGCCUCUCUCCUAAGUCCAAGUUACCUAGUCUUCUUCGAAGGGGUUGGCUGUGUGUGUUGUGCACAUGUGCUCACUGUGGUGAGAAGGACAUGUACUAAUGUUUGUGUUAGCAGAAAUUAUGUGUUUUUGUGUAUACUCGAGUGGUGUGUUUGUGGAUAGGCAUGUAGCAAGACUGUGCACUAGUUUAUGUGUAUGGUAUGUAAGCACACAUGUUAGCUGUAUGCUUAGGGUUGGGCAUAUACCAAAUCUAGAGGAAAGGAUGAGAUGGAGGAAGGGAGGAACUUUGCCAAGAGGAGCAAUAAGGCUCUGUAGCUGAUACUCAUUUGGAUAAUCAGAUCGAUGGGAUAUAUGUGAGGAAGAAAGGAACGGCAUGAGGAUCUGCUGCUGGGGCUAAAAUGGAGUCCUUUGGUGUCAUUAGUCUUUGGUAAACAUAUUUGCCUCCAAGGUUCCUCCUGGCACACUGCUGUGGAGCUGACUGCAGUGUUUAUUUUCGGAUGGAAUAGACCCCCAGCAAAGUUAGACAAUACUACUGGGAUCAGGGGAAGUCCUCAAAUUAUCAUCAGAGGAUCAAGGAAGGGCAAAAUAUGUGCAGCCUCAAGGACAGACACUCUCCCUUUUCUUUUUUAUUUCAGCUGGAGCCAUGACUCAAGAGAGCACAAAGCCACCUCUUUUCUUUUCACGUAAACUAAUAAUGAACUAAUGAGUAAUUGGGAGGAUGAAACUGGUAUUUUGCUGAGGGAACUCAGGAAAGCUGAUGGUUCUUUUUCCAGACUUUUCGCUCCUUCCCUGGGGCCUCUUCCUUCUUCCUUUCAGAUUCUGUGUCCCACAGACCUUUUCCUGGCUGACCCUUAAAUGCUCUGCUGUGGAGGAAACUUUAAUUUUGUUUUUAAAAGCAAAACAAGGCUUACCUGAAGAGGAUGAGGCAAGCCAGAGAGGAAGAAAAUCAUCUCAUCUGAAAAAGCGAUCUAAGCUGUAGCAGAAACCCUUGUCACUGUAAACUAGAAUGGAAUGUUUUUGUCACGUGGAGAGAGGCCCAUUUUGCUUUCUGUGGAGGUACAUUAGUAAAAAGGAAGUUGCCAGAGUAUACGUGUGUCCUUGCACAUGUCUUCUGUUCGCCUUCUAAAAAUGGGCAAAGCACGCACAUCUAUCUUGUGUUUAUCCAUACACAGGUCUGUGCAUGCAGACACAGGCCAGAUCCACAUGCAGACAUCCUUUUGUAUGCAUACUGUGGGACUAGGUACAUAGGAAGACCAUUUUACGUGCCCUCUCUUGGUUUUUCAUUGCCAGCUGUCACGGAGAAUCUGAAACAGAGAAAAAUUUAUUGGGUAGUAUUUAGAAACAUGUCGGUGGUAAUGACUGCAGCUCUGAUUUCAAUUAACACCCACUAAAUUUAGGCGAAUGCAGCGCAUUUGUAGACCUGUUGAACAUGCUUGGCAUCACGUUGCAAAAAUCUGAAGUGGCCAUGGUUUAAAAAACAUUUCAUGCUGACCACUGCUUUCAUCCUUCCCCCCUUCCCCCAAUCUGGCAUAUGGUAGCAGGCUCCCCUGUGAAAUGUAGAAACUUCAAAAUUCUCUCAGUUUGGAUUUUUAUAAAAUGACCUUUCAAUUGCAGAGAGCACAGUUAAAGUUUU